GGAGGAGGCUUCUACCAUGAGUGGCACACAUAGGCGGCUCACAUGCGCUGUGUACAGAAACAUCAAGAGAUUUCAGAAGCAUAAUUUUUUUUGUCAGUAGGGCAGCUGGUGAUUGUUGGUCUUGGUGCCCUC
Molecule: small nuclear RNA, 132 nt
Organism: Sorex fumeus (smoky shrew)
Lineage: Eukaryota; Metazoa; Chordata; Mammalia; Eulipotyphla; Soricidae
Product: U11 spliceosomal RNA
Exons: 1
Source: RefSeq, a predicted model, not a curated record